AGCGAACGUUAGCGGCGGGCCUAACACAUGCAAGUCGAACGAUGAAGCACCUUCGGGUGUGGAUUAGUGGCGCACGGGUGAGUAACACGUAGGUAAUUUACCCUCGGGCGGGGGACAACUUUUCGAAAGAGAAGCUAAUACCGCAUAAGACCACAGCCUCUGCGGAGGCAGUGGGAAAAGAUGGCCUCUUCUUGAAAGCUAUCACCGGAGGAUAAGCCUGCGUCCCAUCAGCUUGUUGGUAAGGUAACGGCUUACCAAGGCGAAGACGGGUAGCUGGUCUGAGAGGAUGAUCAGCCACACUGGUACUGGAACACGGACCAG
RNAcentral lists this ribosomal RNA (321 nucleotides) under uncultured bacterium. RNAcentral describes it as "bacterial SSU rRNA". It matches the Rfam family "Bacterial small subunit ribosomal RNA", at positions 29 to 334 of the family's 1533-position model. The record is from RNAcentral.